This 327-nucleotide ribosomal RNA is filed under the name uncultured eukaryote. Its description in RNAcentral is "partial 18S ribosomal RNA". It matches the Rfam family "Eukaryotic small subunit ribosomal RNA", at positions 1470 to 1796 of the family's 1831-position model. The record is from RNAcentral.
CCCUUAGAUGUUCUGGGCCGCACGCGCGCUACACUGACGAAUGCAACGAGCUUAUAACCUUGUCCGAAAGGUCUGGGUAAUCUCCAAAUUUCGUCGUGAUGGGGAUAGAUUAUUGCAAUUAUUAAUCUUCAACGAGGAAUGCCUAGUAAGCGCAAGUCAUCAGCUUGCGUUGAUUACGUCCCUGCCCUUUGUACACACCGCCCGUCGCUCCUACCGAUUGAAUGGUCCGGUGAAGCGUUCGGACCGUGGCCUUUGGACGGUUCGCCGUCUGUUGGCUGCGGGAAGUUCGUUAAACCUUAUCAUUUAGAGGAAGGAGAAGUCGUANCA